Non-coding RNA from Chlorocebus sabaeus (green monkey), 8211 nucleotides. NCBI's taxonomy places the organism in Eukaryota, Metazoa, Chordata, Mammalia, Primates, Cercopithecidae. The record is from RefSeq and is a predicted model, not a curated record.
AGGCGGCCCGGGGGCCUUUCUGCGCAUGUGCCGUUCCUGUUUUUCACCCGGACGCGCUUCCGGUUCGACAGACUCUUCCGGGUGAGGGUCUUUCAGCCCGUGAAUGCCUGGUCCCGCCGUGACUUGGACCUGGUGCGAACUGCAGGCGAAGCGGGUGCACCCACAACCUAUAGGAAGGGCUGGCGGCGAGCUCCGAGCACUCGGGCGUCGGAGGGAACGGUGGGGCCGGGCGGAGCUGUCCUCGGCUCUGCUUUCAACACUCUUGGCCCUUUCUCAAGAGAACCUGAAAAUGAACAAAUUUCAGAGAUCAGUUUCAUUUCAGGACCUGACUGUGAACUUCACCCAGGAGGAAUGGCAGCAACUGGACCCUGCUCAGAGGCUCCUGUACAGGGAUGUGAUGCUGGAGAACUACAGCAACUUGGUCUCCGUGGGGUAUCAUGUUAGCAAACCGGAUGUGAUUUUCAAAUUGGAGCAAGGAGAAGAACCAUGGAUAGUGGAGGAAUUCUCAAAUCAGAACUACCCAAAAGUUGAUGAUGCCUUAGAGAAGAACAAGGAAAUCCAGGAUAAACAUUUGACACAAACUGUAUUCUUCGGCAACAAAACACUGAUUACAGAAAGAGAGAAUGUAUUUGGGAAAACACUUAAUCUGGGCAUGAAUAGUGUUCCCUCAAGAAAAAUGCCCUAUAAAUGUAAUCCAGGAGGAAACAGUUUGAAAACUAAUUCAGAAGUAAUUGUUGCAAAGGAAAGCAAAGAAAACAGAAAGAUUCCUGAUGAAUACAGUGGAUUUGGGAAGCCACUGCUUCAUACUAAGCAUGAAAAAAGUCAUUUGGGAAUGAAAAAUUACAGAUAUAAUCCAAUGAGGAAAGCCAGCAAUCAAAAUGAAAGUCUUAUUCUUCACCAGAACGUACAGAUUUUGAAACAACCUUUUGACUAUAAUAAAUGUGGGAAAACCUUCUUCAAGAGGGCAAUUCUCGUUACCCAGAAAGGGAGACAGACUGAAAGGAAACCAAAUGAAUGUAGUGAAUGUAGGAAAACCUUUUCUAAGAGAUCUACCCUCAUUGUACAUCAGAGAAUUCAUACAGGGGAGAAACCGUAUGUUUGUAAUGAUUGUAGGAAGACUUUUCGUGUGAAGACAAGCCUCACUCGACACCAAAGAAUUCAUACUGGAGAGAGACCCUAUGAGUGCAGUGAAUGCGGGAAAACCUUCAUUGACAAAUCUGCCCUCAUUGUACACCAGAAAAUUCAUGGAGGGGAGAAAUCCUAUGAGUGUAAUGAAUGUGGAAAGACGUUUUUUCGGAAGUCAGCCCUGGCUGAACAUUUCAGGUCACACACAGGGGAGAAGCCUUAUGAAUGCAAGGAAUGUGGAAACGCCUUCAGUAAGAAAUCGUAUCUUGUUGUACAUCAAAGAACUCACAGAGGAGAGAAGCCAAAUGAAUGUAAGGAAUGUGGGAAAACCUUCUUCUGUCAGUCGGCCCUUACUGCACAUCAGAGAAUUCACACAGGGGAAAAACCCUAUGAAUGUAGUGAAUGUGAGAAAACCUUUUUUUGUCAAUCAGCCCUCAAUGUGCAUCGAAGAAGUCAUACAGGAGAGAAGCCCUAUGAAUGCAGUCAAUGUGGAAAAUUUUUAUGUACGAAAUCAGCCCUCAUUGCACAUCAGAUAACUCAUAGAGGAAAGAAGUCUUAUGAAUGUAAUGAAUGUGGGAAAUUUUUCUGCCAUAAGUCAACACUCACUAUACAUCAGAGAACACACACAAGAGAGAAACAUGGUGUGUUUAAUAAAUGUGGUAGAAUAUCCAUCAUGAAGUCAAACUGCAGUCAGUGUAAGAGAAUGAACACAAAGGAGAAUCUUUAUGAGUGUAGUGAACAUGGGCAUACCAUCAGCAAAAACUCACACCUCAUUGUACAUCAGAGAACUAUAUGGGAGAGACCAUAUGAAUGCAAUGAGUGUGGGAGAACCUACUGCAGGAAGUCAGCCCUCACUCACCAUCAGAGAACACACACAGGAGAGAGACCCUAUGAGUGUAAUGAAUGUGGGAAAACUUUCUGUCAGAAGUUCUCCUUUGUUGAACAUCAGCGAACUCACACUGGGGAGAAACCAUAUGAAUGUAAUGAAUGUGGAAAAUCCUUCUGCCAUAAGUCAGCCUUCAGAGUCCAUAGAAGAAUUCACACAGGAGAGAAACCAUAUGAAUGUAAUCAAUGUGGGAAAACCUACCGUCGCCUGUGGACUCUCACUGAACAUCAGAAAAUACACACAGGAGAGAAACCUUACAAGUGUAACAAAUGUGAGAAAACAUUUCGCCACAAAUCAAACUUCCUUUUACAUCAGAAAUCCCACAAGGAAUAAGUUCCAGCAAAGUAAUAAAUUCCAACAAAGCAACAAAUCAAAUAACUUACACAAUGCGAAACUGUGAGUAUGUAUAGAGGAGUAAAAUCUUAUAAUGAGUAUGGAAAAAUUUUCUGCCAUAAGUCCAUCCUCACUAUAACAUCAGAGAAAUCAUGUAGGAAAGAAAUACUUUGUUUAAUAAAUGUAUUAUUCUUUGUGAACUAUGAAAAUAUUCAACAGCAAUUCAAAGGUUAUGCCAAAUGUGCCUCCCUUUUAAAAUAAUGAAACAAACAUUAUUUAAGUUAAAUUGUUACUUGGUUGCUCCCCACAGUGUUACUUGAUAGUGUAUGUUAUGAGGUGUGAGGAUCUGACCUUCAUUUCAAAUCAAUACCAUUGUUUGAUAGUUGAGUAACUUGCAGUUUCUCAAUUUAUGGUGUAUUUUCAGAUUUGGCAGACUUUUUGUUGUCUGCUAACUCCAUAGACUUCUAGUAGCAGACUAUAUACCUUUAUCUGCAAAGGUGACAACUCAGGAGCACUAACCAUGGUACUCUAUGCACCCAUGGUAAUUAUACCCCAGGUGAGCCUUUGGUAAAGCUGAGCCAAUGAAAGCCCUUCCUAAGACCUUUCUAAUGGAAUAUAGGCACAGGAUAACUAGUUCGUUAUCCUGAAGCUUUCAGCCAAGUCAAGAAAACAGCAAUUGCAGUAGGAAAAACAUGGAAAAAUAAGUAUUCUUGAACAACAAAGAGAAUUUGGGUGAUGGUUGAAUCCAAAAAGUGUUUAUUUCUCUGGUUUUAGUAUUCUCUAAUAUCCACUCAACCCCAUCUAGCAGUGGUUUGAUUAUGUCAAUUAGUAUGUUUUCAAAAAUCUCUUGGAUUUCCUAAUCAACAUGUUCAUUAGAGGUAUUCUUUAGAAGUCACUGAUCAAAUUCUGAGAACAAAAGGCCUCUGGGAUGCUGAUUAGGAUUACAUUGUAUGGAUAUAUGUGAUGAGGUAGGAUUGCCACUUUUAUGGGGUUAUUGGGAAAUGUUUACCUUUUAAGUCCUGAUUUCCGUGAGUGGGGUUUUCCCUAUACCCAUUCCUAGCCUCUCUGCCACAUUAUGCAUUCUGCCCCAGGGAAGAUGAAGUGGGCUUAUCUAAUUGCUAAGACAGUGAUGGGUAACUGGGUUUGCUCAGCGGAACUCCCUGUUCAUUUUGGGCUGUUCUGCAAGCACAAUUUCUUGUCACAGGUAUUGCCUGUGAUUGGUAAAUUGGUCUAAUUCUGUCAUUCAGCUAAUUGGCCCAUUAGCUGAAUGGUCACAGUAAGUUGCAUUCUCCAACUCAAUUUGAUCAGUAAUAAAAGUUUCAUCCUGUCCCCUGUCUACUACUUAACUUUUUGUUGUUUAGAUGGGGGUGGAAAUUGUGCUAUUUAUUUGGGGCCCUUCAGAGAACCCAAUAUGAACAUGACUUAUCAGUUUAUUCAGUUUUUAUGUCCUUCAGGACAGAUAAAUGUAUGUGUACACACAUAUACAUAUGUUUAUAUAUAUAAGUAUAUACAUAUGUUUAAAUGUAUGUGUGUGCAUAUACUGAUCUUGCUCUUGUAAAAUGUAUUCAUAGUCACUUCAAAGAUUUGGUUGCUAUUGUGAAAGGAAUUAUGUUACCUUUCACUUUGACACUAAUGGAGUAAAGAAAAACAAAAAUACCUAAUUUUUGUGCCAAAUUUACCUAAAUUUAUCCCUUAAUGUUGGAACAAUCUUUUCAAAUCUUAUGAAAAAUGUAAAUUCAGAAGUCCAAGAAGUUUAAUGAACCCCAAGCAGGAUAAAAAUGAAGAGCACAACCAGACACCAAAUUUCAAGACAUAAAUCAAAACUAGUUUAAUAAAGAAUAUCUUAAAAGUAGCCAAAGAACAAAGACAUGAUAUAGAGUGUAUUCAUCUCCUAGGGCUGCCCUAACACAGUACCUCAGACUAGAUGUUCUAGAACAACAGAUCUAUCUCAUAGUUCUGGAGGCCAGAAGUCAGGUUGGGGUGGUGUUGGCAGGGCUGUACUCUCUUCUGAAGGAUCUGUUCCAGGCCUCUCCCCUGGCUUCUGAUAAUUCUGUAGCUUGUGGCAGCAUAACUUCACGUGGUGUUCUAAGUGUGCCUAUUUGUGUCCAAAUUUCCCCUUUUUGUAAGGAUACUAGUCAUGGGAUUAAGGGCCUGCCCUACUCCAGUAUGACUGCAUCUUCAAUAAUUACAUCUGCAACAAUCCUAUUUCCAAAUAAGGUUACAUUCUGAGGUACUCAGGGGUAGGACUUCAACACACAUUUUGGGGAGACAAUUCAACCCAUAACAGGUUAAUGUAUUAUUUAUUGUUUUGUAACAAAUUAUCCCCAAAAUUAGCAACUUAAAACAAUAAACAUUUACUAUCUCAUUGUUUUUGUGGUUUAGGAAUUGUAGAGUAACUUGGCUAGGUGGUUGAGGCGCAAGGCCUUUGAGGUUGCUGUCAAGAAGUUGACCAGGGAUGCAGUUGUGUAAAGACUUGACGGGGCUGAAGGAUCCACUUCCACCAUGGCUGUCUCCCACAGUUGUUAGCAGGAGACCUCAGUUCUUCAUCACAUCGGCCUCUCCGUAGGGUUUCUUGAGUUUCUCACAACGUGGCAGCCGGCAUUCAUUCCUCAGAGUGAGUGAUCCAAAGCCAGUUUCCCUUAUAACCUAGCUUUGGAAAACUAUCACUUUCACUGUAUUUAAUUAGUCACACAGACCAACCUUGAUACAGUGCCGAAGGGGAUCACACGGGAGCAUGAGUACCAGGAGGUAGAGACCUCUGGAGCCAUGUCACAGGCUAGCUACCACAGGCAACCACCACUAAGCAUGGAGUGGUUUCAAGAAAGGUGAGAGGAGAUGCGCUGAAAAGAGUUAGUACAAACAGCCUUUUCAAGGAGUCAUACUAAAGGCAAGAGAAAUAGCACUGUAGCUCGAGAGUAAAGUAUAGUCAAAGGAGGCUUCUUUCUAUAGCUAGAGAUAAAUGCAUGUUUAUACACUUAUGGGAGAUCUUCCAUAGAGAGGGGGAGAUGUUGGAGUAAUGUUCUGCAUAGGUGAGAUAGGUUGGAAUCUGUUUGUAAGGGGGAAGGGUAGCCUUUUUAAGAGAAUAGGCAAUGGUCGUGCCAUGCCGGCUCACACAUAUGGGUUGAUGUAAAAGUUGUGAAUUUAUUUUAGAAUUGUUUCUAUUUUUCAAUGAAAUGGGGGAUAAGAUUAUAUGAGAGAAUGGGAGAGUUAUAAAUCGGUAUCACUGAUAUGACACAUUUAGUUUGUUUUGCCAGAUUAUUUUAUCUUCCCAUUUGUCUUUCACUACAGUGUUGCGGAGCAUUUGUAUUUUUGUUCUGUCAGUUACUAAUAUACUGAUAUCUUUAUAUAGUGCCUUAAUAUCCCUGUUAUUUGCAGGGAAUAAGGGGAAGAUAGUAUAUUAGUUUCUUACUGUCAGUCAAUAAUGAAAUUAGUUGGUAAUCUCUUCUUCCGUCUUCUCUCCUUGUUCACCUGGAAUCUAAUUUAAAAUGAGAACUUAUUCUUUAAGAUAGACAUAUCAGUCUUGAAUUAUUAUAUGUUCACAGUUUGCCUAUGGACUUUUUGUAUAUUUGAAGAUCAGUAUGACUGGUUAGAAAUCCCCAGCUAACUUUCUUUGCAUAUCCUGAAACACAUUGUUCCAUUAUGUCUAGACCAAGUAUUAUUCUUCAGAAACCUGAUGCUCCUGGAUACUCUGUCCCUCCAGAACCACUCCUCAUGCUUGGGGCAGACCUCUAUGAACUGCAUCAACUGAGGUCUCUUGCCAUCAAGUGUCUGAUUGAGACCUUAUUUGUGGCUCUCUUCUUCUGCAGCUAGAGCUAUUCCCAGAUCCCAAAAGUCAUUUCCUUCCUGCAUCAUUUAGAGUUCAAUCAGAGCAGCAGAGCCAUAUGUAUGGUCUAUAGAUGACAAAAUUGUUAUCAAGAUUUGACUCCAGGCUAUUAUGGGAAGCCUGUUAUGUGACUGUCUUCAUGGCUGAUGCUGGCACUUUAAUUCUGCAGGCCAAGCAAGUAGGGAAAGUGAACACUAAGAGAGAGAACAAAGACAAGCUGGAAGCCCCAGACAAAGCUGUGGCAGUUUUUACUGUCUUCUACCUAAACGAUGUGGGUGUCCUACAGAGGUUGGUGCCAUUUGUGGUGUUGCUAAGCACACACAUAGCCCAGGAGCUGGAAGACCUGGAGGAGAUACUGGGGAAAAGAGAGCAGCCACAGGCUUGUCUACUGAGCCACGCCACCAAGAACCAGCAGGAGCCUAUGAAUGAGCUGCCUUCCCUGGUGUCAGCACUGAAACUCGAGAAACAAGUGUCUCUGAAAUCUCUGGAUCAUCUUACAUUCUGGCAAUUUCUACCUUCUGUUAAUGAAGGUAGUCAUCUCUUUCCAACUAGAUGAUUUGCUUUAGCCCCAACAUGCAAAGGGAGAAUUUGAGCAAAAAGACUUCAAGGCAUCUUGCAGAGGUGAUAGGCCUCUAUACAGGACUUUAAACUCCUACAGAUGUGGGCUUGAAUCAGCAUGAUCAAAUUAUUCUGGCCGUUGACUCCUCAUCAAUCUACAUGAUGGCCAUAAAUCCUGGAUAUAGUCCACAUGGUGUAGUGGGCACGUAUUUUCAGCGAGGGUGCUGUAUUUAUGGAGGCCGCUGCAGAUGUGAACUCAGCAAGCCACUGAAACGGAAAGAAGCAACUGCUACAGAUCUGACUACAAAAUCAUCCCUUGCUGCUUCCUCAAGUCUCUCGUUCAUAGUUGGACCGCUUGUUGAAACGAAUACAGGCAAAGCUGAGUCCAAUUCAAACUUGGCAACUGUAGGAGCGUGUUCAGAGGACUGGUGGAUGCUGUUGAGUUUGUUCCCAGGCAACUCUACUGCAGCCAUGCUGCCUCUUUCUGCAGUGACCAAGGGAGAAUCAGAGAAAGAGCAAAUAGCUGUGAUAACAAAGAAGCCGCUUUGCCCCUAGGCUGCAGUGGGAGAGAUGGAAAUGGGUAGAACUGUGUGUGUCUCCACAGAGAGUCAUGUGAUCAUGUAAGCUGCAGGUCCUACCUCCAAUGGAUGCUGCCCAGAGACCACAGCAUGUGAAAAUCUUGCCCUGAGGCCCAUGAGAAGGAAACAGAGCUCUCACUGGCUAUGCAGUGCAGCAAGGAUACGAUGUGUGGGAUCUGCAUGAAGGUGGCCUGUGAGAAAGCCAGCACCGGUGAGCGUGGCUUUGGGAUCCUCUCCAGCUGCAGCCACACCUACUGUCUCAAGUGUAUUCACAAGUGGAAGGGCACUAAGCUAUUUGAGAGCAAGAUCAUAGUGUCCUACCCAGAAUGCCGGGUCACAUCUAACUUUGUCAUUCCCAGUGAGUACCGGGUGGGAGAAAUAAGAGAAGCAGAAACGAUUUUGAUGAAGGAUGGGGGAGCUGCCUAUCUUGGGGGAUGUGUUUUUACAAGCAGGUAUUCCCUGAUGGCCAUAGAAAGGAUAGAGACAGGCAAGCAGAUACUGGGCCCAGUGAAGGAACCACUUCUAGGAGUUCAUUGAGGAAAGAGAGAACAAUGACCCCUUUGACAACAAUGAAGAAGAGGUUGUCACCUUUGAGCUGGGUGAGAUGUUGCUUAUGCUCGUGGCAGAUGGGGACGAUGAACUGACAGACUUUGAAAAUGAGUGGGACUUGUUCCAUGUUGAUUUGGAAGAUUUUUAUGACUUGGCUCAAUAGCCACCUCGCGUGGCAUGUGGACUGGCCUGCUGACCUCAGCAGCAGUCCCCUGUGGCAGUGUGACAGUGUCCGUGUUUGCUGUCUUAAUUUUUACCCAGGGCCUGUCUUCUCAAUCUGUGACCUUUCCCCAAGAAGUGUGUUACUUUCUCUGUGGAAAAAAGAUUCAAAAAUAAAUCCUGAAGUUAGUGUUUUGUAA